GUCGAGCGGAUGAGAGGAGCUUGCUCCUCGAUUCAGCGGCGGACGGGUGAGUAAUGCCUAGGAAUCUGCCUAGUAGUGGGGGACAACGUUUCGAAAGGAACGCUAAUACCGCAUACGUCCUACGGGAGAAAGUGGGGGAUCUUCGGACCUCACGCUAUUAGAUGAGCCUAGGUCGGAUUAGCUAGUUGGUAGGGUAAAGGCCUACCAAGGCGACGAUCCGUAACUGGUCUGAGAGGAUGAUCAGUCACACUGGAACUGAGACACGGUCCAGACUCCUACGGGAGGCAGCAGUGGGGAAUAUUGGACAAUGGGCGAAAGCCUGAUCCAGCCAUGCCGCGUGUGUGAAGAAGGCCUUCGGGUCGUAAAGCACUUUAAGUUGGGAGGAAGGGCUCAUAGCGAAUACCUGUGAGUUUUGACGUUACCAACAGAAUAAGCACCGGCUAACUUCGUGCCAGCAGCCGCGGUAAUACGAAGGGUGCAAGCGUUAAUCGGAAUUACUGGGCGUAAAGCGCGCGUAGGUGGCUUGAUAAGUUGGAUGUGAAAUCCCCGGGCUCAACCUGGGAACUGCAUCCAAAACUGUCUGGCUAGAGUGCGGUAGAGGGUAGUGGAAUUUCCAGUGUAGCGGUGAAAUGCGUA
RNAcentral lists this ribosomal RNA (636 nucleotides) under Pseudomonas oryzihabitans. Its description in RNAcentral is "bacterial SSU rRNA". It matches the Rfam family "Bacterial small subunit ribosomal RNA", at positions 61 to 692 of the family's 1533-position model. Lineage: Bacteria; Pseudomonadati; Pseudomonadota; Gammaproteobacteria; Pseudomonadales; Pseudomonadaceae. The record is from RNAcentral.